This 230-nucleotide long non-coding RNA is filed under the name Ictidomys tridecemlineatus (thirteen-lined ground squirrel). RNAcentral's name for it is "lncRNA (ENSSTOG00000033149.1)". The record is from RNAcentral. Lineage: Eukaryota; Metazoa; Chordata; Mammalia; Rodentia; Sciuridae.
UAUAUUUUGCACCGCACAAAAAAAUAAAACGUCAUUAUUUUUGCUGAAUUGCUAGGUGCCCAUUAUCCAUGGUGUGGAGACAUGAGUUGCUGUUUUUUCUCCUUUUGUCAAUGGGCUGGAAACCCUCUUCCACGAAUGCCAUGAACUCUACUGAAGAGACACAGGUGACUUUAAGGAGCUGAAAAAUGUUUAGCUAUGGUUCCAGAAUGCUCAACAGUGGAUUUGUGACC